Molecule: long non-coding RNA, 663 nt
Organism: Alosa sapidissima (American shad)
Lineage: Eukaryota; Metazoa; Chordata; Actinopteri; Clupeiformes; Clupeidae
Exons: 3
Source: RefSeq, a predicted model, not a curated record
AGACUAAGCUAAACAUUGUAUUAGGUUCGUUUUUAGCAUUGUAAGCAACAGAAGUUAUUAAUUUGCACACAAACAAAUGUUUUACAACUUGUACUCUUGUGCAAUUUUUGUCAAGAUGUCCAGUUAGAAGCUAGCUGAAAAGUUCGUAGCCAGUCGUGGGCAGUUCAGGCUAUGCUGUAGUGAAAGGAGUGCUGCUUGCAAGGAAAGUACUCGUUUUAGUCAGUUAUUAAAAGAAUGACCCAGGUUCCUGAGGAGCUGACCUGAAUGACCAUCAUGGCCUCGAUCCGUUGUGCCUCUAUAUUCUUUGCAAAAUGCAAUGAAUAUUUACAGAGCUGACCAUGGCCGUUUGAGAAUCAGAGGAAUGGAAAGGCAAUGAAGUGACUUGGCCUACAGGUCUUUUGUGAGCAGGAGCUGGGGUUUCCUUAGAAGAAGCGUCUGUGUCAUGAUCCCUUCGUGUGUGGUGCUACGCAUAUGGAGGGAGCUUCCGGAUACUUCAGGGCAGUACGUUGGAUUCAGACCCCUUUUCGACUGAACCGUGACACAUGUUCAGCAACAGCAUCCUCCAUGGAAGGUCUGUCAAGCUGAGCACACAAGUCCUGGGGCACAGGAAUCCGCUGGACGGCAUCCCAAUAAGGAAGAGGGUCUUUGAUCUCGAAGAGGACA